RNAcentral lists this ribosomal RNA (408 nucleotides) under uncultured bacterium. RNAcentral's name for it is "partial 16S ribosomal RNA". It matches the Rfam family "Bacterial small subunit ribosomal RNA", at positions 28 to 526 of the family's 1533-position model. The record is from RNAcentral.
GACGAACGCUGGCGGCGUGCUUAACACAUGCAAGUCGAACGAAGUGGCGAACGGGGGAGUAAUACGUGGGUAACCUGCUCUACUUUUUGGGAUAAGCCUUGGAAAUGGGGCCUAAUACCGAAUAAAGGGGGAUGGGCUCGCGGCCUAUCAGCUUGUUGGUGGGGUGAUGGCUUACCAAGGUGGUGACGGGUAGCCGGCCUGAGAGGGUGACAGGCCACAUUGGUACUGAGGUACGUCCCAGAGUCCUCCGGGGGGCAGCAGUUGGAGCUAUUGCACAAUGGGCGACAUCCUGAUGCAGCGACGCCGCGUGGGGUAUGAGGGCUUUCGGGUUUUAAACCUCUGUCGCUAUCGAACGGGUAGGUGAAGAAGAAGCGCCGACUAACUACGUGCCAGCAGCCGCGGUAAUAC